AGAGUCUCUUGCCCAGGGUAGGGGAAUCGGGGACCAAAGGACAUAGGUUCAAGGUGAAGGGGAAAAGAUUUAAUAGGAAUCCGAGGGGUAACUUUUUCACACAAAGGGUGGUGAGUGUAUGGACCAGGCUGCCAGAGGAGGUAGUUGAGGCUGGGACUAUCCCAUCGUUUAAGAGACAGUUAGACAGGUACAUGGAUAGGACGGGUUUGGAGGGAUAUGGACCAAGUGCAGGUAAGUGGGACUAGUGUAGCUGGGACAUUGUUGGUUGGUGUGGGCGAAUUGGGCCGAAAGGCCUGUUUCCACAUUGUAUCACUCUACGACUUUAUGACUAUAAAAUGCUUAAAAAGCUGGUCAUGCUUACUCAAUAUAUUUUUAGAAAGUGCAUCAAACUUUACUAUUGAUUAAAUUAAUCAUUCACAUAAUUUGCCAAUUUGAAGCAAACCGAAUUAACUCUUCAAAAAAAUAAAUUGUCGUUACCACUCUUUUGGGAUAUGUUUUUUAUGGACCAUCCCCUUGUGGGAUAGGGUUACUGUCAGGAGGAUAAUAUGGCUAUUUCACGGCUAUUGUUGGAUGAGUGUAUUUACUGCAGGAGAAUAUUGUAGAAUUUGGAAUGCAUCUUUGAGCUUCCACUCAUAAUCUCUUUUGCACGGAUUUUCAUUGAUUUUCAACUUUCACGAUUUUCCGUUGCAUAGUGACUUGCCUCAUGGUUUAAGCAGCAUCCUUGGUGACCCUGCUCCUUCUGAUGUUAUGGGAGGACAACAGCUGUAAUGCUACCAGCAUUCCAUGAUACACUUGGUGAUAUUGCAUUUUGAGUGGGCAAUCAGGCAGCUAAGUUACCGGGGGCUUUCAUGUCUGCCUAUGAUGAUGCCAUCUGUGCUUCGAUGGUGAACAUUAACAUAGCCGUAGGUUCAUCAUGGGAAAUCACUGGCAGCCUCUCUUCAGCCCUAAAGUGGAAAAAGAUGAAGUUCUCAUCUAUAAUGGCUCCUGCAAUGUCUCCAUGGCAAUGAAGGCAGUGAUAAAGUGUGAGGUGUUUCGACAGCCAGAGCUGGUUACAGUGAAGAUAAUAGAGACUUUGGAACAUUGGGGACAGAGCAUCUACGUACCAUAAUGUCACAGAGCCUAUUAGCAAACCCUCACUCUGUCACAAACUGUUACAGGUGCAAACAAGGUUUGGUCAGAAGUCACAUCAUCUGGACCCUAAAUACUGAUUCCCACAGUAACGAUUUCUUUUUUCAAGAUAUGUUGGGAUUGCUUUAUUUUUAAGAAAAAUGACAAGCGAAUAUCAAUGUAAUGCACAAUCUGAAGUGCUGCCCUUUAAAAUUGAAUAUUUUGACCAAUGCAGUUUACAAUAGUAUGUCAAAGCAAUUGAUCAUAUCUGAUUUAUAUUACAUUCCAGUUCAAUAAAGAUAUAUAUUUUUAAAUGUUAUAAGACAUUGCAGAUGAUUUUAUAUUGACCUUGAAUGACAAUGGUUCAGUCAAGUAUCCCUUUGUGCUGCUUAAAAGUGCUGUUGAUUUGAUACAAAGAUGAAAACUAGGGCUUACUUAUAAACACCAGUGAUUUUAUUGUGACACCAAUCCUUAUAAGUACUUUAUUGUGGUUUAAAUACAUUGGGAUUCAAAAGAUAAUUUCUGAAAACUCGACAAAAAAAUUCUAUAGCAAAGUUUUCAUAGUCAAUAUCAUCUGCGGGGCGAUUUAAUGAGAACAUCAAGUUAACCUAAAUUCAAGUCAACCUAAUAGGAGAUUAGAAUUAUUCUGCUUCCCUACUUUUUAUAACUUACUUUCAUGAAUAAAGAAUAUUGAGAAGCUUUCUGUGGCAUUGAAUACUAAGAUAUGUCAUGGUUUUAUUCCAAGAUGACAAAGCCCAUCCAUUAAGUUCUUUGAAUGCAGCUAGAAAUGUGCUUUUUAUGAAUGAAACAUGAGGUAUGGAGAAGAAAGGAACUGCAGAUGCUAGUUUACCAAGGAAAGACACAAAAUGGUGGAGUAACUCAGCGGGUCAUGCAGCAUCCCUGGAGCACAUGGAUAGGUGAUAUGACCUUCCUUCAGACUGAUCUGGGUGUGAUUAUAAAUCUGCAUCCUCCAACUUUCUAGGGCAGAUACA
Long non-coding RNA from Leucoraja erinaceus (little skate), 2099 nucleotides. RefSeq lists it as uncharacterized. The record is from RefSeq and is a predicted model, not a curated record. Lineage: Eukaryota; Metazoa; Chordata; Chondrichthyes; Rajiformes; Rajidae. The transcript has 3 exons.